GGGUGCUAACGUCCGGUGUCAAGAGGGAAACAACCCAGACCGCCAGCUAAGGUCCCCAAAUAUAGCUAAGUGGGAAACGAAGUGGGAAGGCUAAAACAGUCAGGAGGUUGGCUUAGAAGCAGCCAUCCUUUAAAGAAAGCGUAAUAGCUCACUGAUCGAGUCGUCCUGCGCGGAAGAUGUAACGGGGCUAAGCUAUAUACCGAAGCUGCGGAUGCGUGCUUUGCACGCAUGGUAGGAGAGCGUUCCGUAAGCCUGCGAAGGUGCGUUGAAAAGCGUGCUGGAGGUAUCGGAAGUGCGAAUGCUGACAUGAGUAGCGAUAAAGGGGGUGAAAGGCCCCCUCGCCGUAAGCCCAAGGUUUCCUACGCAACGUUCAUCGGCGUAGGGUGAGUCGGCCCCUAAGGCGAGGCAGAAAUGCGUAGCUGAUGGGAAGCAGGUCAAUAUUCCUGCACCAUUGUUAAAUGCGAUGGGGGGACGGAUCGCGGAAGGUUGUCCGGGUGUUGGAAGUCCCGGUC
Molecule: ribosomal RNA, 512 nt
Filed under: Bacteroides ovatus
Lineage: Bacteria; Pseudomonadati; Bacteroidota; Bacteroidia; Bacteroidales; Bacteroidaceae
Description: partial 23S ribosomal RNA
Rfam family: Bacterial large subunit ribosomal RNA
Source: RNAcentral